This 420-nucleotide ribosomal RNA is filed under the name bacterium. Its description in RNAcentral is "partial 16S ribosomal RNA". It matches the Rfam family "Bacterial small subunit ribosomal RNA", at positions 355 to 776 of the family's 1533-position model. The record is from RNAcentral.
UGGGGGAUAUUGCACAAUGGGCGAAAGCCUGAUGCAGCGACGCCGCGUGGGGGAUGAAGGCUUUCGGGUUGUAAACCUCUUUCGCUAUCGAACAAGGCCCGCUUAGGGUGGGUUGAGGGUAGGUGGAGAAGAAGCGCCGGCUAACUACGUGCCAGCAGCCGCGGUAAUACGUAGGGCGCGAGCGUUGUCCGGAAUUAUUGGGCGGACAGGGCUUGUAGGCGGCUCGUUGCGCCUGCUGUGAAAACGCGGGGCUUAACUUCGCGCGUGCAGUGGGUACGGGCAGGCUUGAGUGUGGUAGGGGUGACUGGAAUUCCAGGUGUAGCAGUGGAAUGCGCAGAUAUCUGGAGGAACACCGAUGGCGAAGGCAGGUCACUGGGCCAUUACUGACGCUGAGGAGCGAAAGCAUGGGUAGCGAACAGG